This 497-nucleotide ribosomal RNA is filed under the name uncultured bacterium. Its description in RNAcentral is "partial 16S ribosomal RNA". It matches the Rfam family "Bacterial small subunit ribosomal RNA", at positions 28 to 507 of the family's 1533-position model. The record is from RNAcentral.
GAUGAACGCUGGCGGCGUGCCUAAUACAUGCAAGUCGAGCGAACGGACGAGAAGCUUGCGUCUCUGAUGUUAGCGGCGGACGGGUGAGUAACACGUGGAUAACCUACUUCUAUGUCUUGGAUAAUUUCGGGAAACAGGAGCUACUACCGGAUAAUAUUUUGUACCGCAUGGAUCAAAAGUGAAAGACGGUCUUGCUGUCACUUAUAGCUGGAUCCGUGCUGCAUUAGCUAGUUGGUAAGGUAACGGCUUACCAAGGCAACGAUGCGUAGCCGACCUGAGAGGAUGAUCGGCCACACUGGAACUGAGACACGGUCCAGACUCCUACGGGAGGCAGCAGUAGGGAAUAUUCCGCAAUGGGCGAAAGCCUGACGGAGCAACGCCGCGUGAGUGAUGAAGGUCUUCGGGUCGUAAAGCUCUUUUAUUAGGGAAGAAAAUAUGCAUAUGUAACUGUGCACGUCUUGACGGUACCUAAUCAGAAAGCCACGGCUAACUACGUG